RNAcentral lists this long non-coding RNA (275 nucleotides) under Spirodela polyrhiza (greater duckweed). Its description in RNAcentral is "long non-coding RNA (SPOL_LNC001509)". Lineage: Eukaryota; Viridiplantae; Streptophyta; Magnoliopsida; Alismatales; Araceae. The record is from RNAcentral.
UCAAAGGAGAAGGCGAGUGCCAGCCCGAGGACGACGGCGGCGCUGCUCUUCUCCCCUCCCAUCACCCCUCGGCGUGGGCUUGGCCAGGAACCGCCGCAGCAGCAGCAGCAGCGUGCGUAAUCCCCCCUGCGGCAUCCUUUAUGGCCGCUGAUUAAUGGAGCUCAGUAAUUGGGUGGGGGAAGGAAAGGCCUCUCCGUUCCUCCCUUGAUGCAGGACAGCUUGCCCCACCAUCCCUCCUCUUCCGGCGGACUCACCCUCCCUCUACCGUGGCCGGC